UACGUAGGGUGCAAGCGUUAAUCGGAAUUACUGGGCGUAAAGAGUUCGUAGGCGGUUUGUCGCGUCGUUUGUGAAAACCAGCAGCUCAACUGCUGGCUUGCAGGCGAUACGGGCAGACGUUGAGUACUGCAGGGGAGACUGGAAUUCCUGGUGUAGCGGUGAAAUGCGCAGAUAUCAGGAGGAACACCGGUGGCGAAGGCGGGUCUCUGGGCAGUAACUGACGCUGAGGAACGAAAGCGUGGGGAGCAAACAGG
RNAcentral lists this ribosomal RNA (254 nucleotides) under uncultured bacterium. RNAcentral's name for it is "partial 16S ribosomal RNA". It matches the Rfam family "Bacterial small subunit ribosomal RNA", at positions 524 to 776 of the family's 1533-position model. The record is from RNAcentral.